Stegodyphus dumicola is the source of this 599-nucleotide long non-coding RNA. NCBI's taxonomy places the organism in Eukaryota, Metazoa, Arthropoda, Arachnida, Araneae, Eresidae. The record is from RefSeq and is a predicted model, not a curated record.
UGCAUGGCAACAAUUUCAAUUUCUUUCUUAGCGAGCGAAACGAAGACCCGCGAGUAUAUCCAAAUCACUCGUUGUUAAAAUUCGUCUGCAAAUUCACGUGUCUAGCAAAAUGGGAGAUCCAGCUGUUAAAAUCGGUGAACUCUCUUUCGGAGAAGGCAUACUUCUAGGACUUGGAAAUCCUUUAUUAGAUAUAUCAGCAAAUACUGACCAUAGUUUCUUGGAAAAAUGUUGCAAGUCGAGUUGUGGUGGAUGGCUUUCUUAUUUCUUCAAAAUAUAAUUCAUCUAUUUUCUUCAUUAUUAUUUCUGUUACUUUCAAGCAUAAUUUGUAAAAAACAUAUCUUCUGUGUUCUAGAAACUUCUGUGUGUCUGCAAUUUUUUUUUAAAAUUUAUUUUUUAACUUUUCAAAUGACUUAUGAAACUAGUUUAAAAUAUACUUUAUCUUUAAAGUAUUAAAGUACACAAAUCGAAAAAAAGGCUGUGUGAUUUGUAUUUCACUGCAUAAUUCAGAUUUAAUUUUCCUCUUUUCAUAUUCGCUGCAUUAUGUACUGACUACUAAUAUCCUGAAAUAUAUCACAUUUUUUUUUUUCAAAUGUGUAAUG